UGGGUUUGUGAUUUAGAAAUUAGGACAACAAGAAUAUUUGUGGAUAGAUGAGUAUUCUUUCGGAGUUUUUCAUCAGUAUGUUAUAUUUUUAAAUAAUUUUCUUAAAAACUAAUAUUUUUGGAAAUUUUUCAUUUUUUAGAGAAAUAUUAUAGAUUUGGGUUUGUGAUUUAGAAAUUGGGACAAAAAGAAUAUUUGUGGAUAGAUGAGUAUUCUUUCGGAGUUUUUCAUUAGUAGGUUAUAUU
This 242-nucleotide long non-coding RNA is filed under the name Brassica napus (rape). Its description in RNAcentral is "long non-coding RNA (BNAP_LNC025111)". Lineage: Eukaryota; Viridiplantae; Streptophyta; Magnoliopsida; Brassicales; Brassicaceae. The record is from RNAcentral.